This 739-nucleotide ribosomal RNA is filed under the name Hymenagaricus sp. RNAcentral describes it as "partial large subunit ribosomal RNA". It matches the Rfam family "Eukaryotic large subunit ribosomal RNA", at positions 177 to 905 of the family's 3401-position model. The record is from RNAcentral. Lineage: Eukaryota; Fungi; Basidiomycota; Agaricomycetes; Agaricales; Agaricaceae.
GUGUACAAGUCUCCUGGAACGGGGCGUCAUAGAGGGUGAGAAUCCCGUCUUUGACACGGACUNCCAGUGCGUUGUGGUAUGCUCUCAAAGAGUCGAGUUGUUUGGGAAUGCAGCUCAAAAUGGGUGGUAAAUUCCAUCUAAAGCUAAAUAUUGGCGAGAGACCGAUAGCGAACAAGUACCGUGAGGGAAAGAUGAAAAGAACUUUGGAAAGAGAGUUAAACAGUACGUGAAAUUGCUGAAAGGGAAACGCUUGAAGUCAGUCGCGUUGGCCAGGGAUCAGCCUCGCUUUUGCGUGGUGUACUUUCUGGUUGACGGGUCAGCAUCAAUUUUGACCGCUGGAAAAGGUCCUGAGGAAUGUAGCAGCCCCGGCUGUGUUAUAGCCUCUGGUCACAUACGGCGGUUGGGAUUGAGGAACUCAGCACGCCGAAAGGCCGGGUUUCGACCACGUUCGUGCUUAGGAUGCUGGCAUAAUGGCUUUAAGCGACCCGUCUUGAAACACGGACCAAGGAGUCUAACGUGCCUGCGAGUGUUUGGGUGGAAACCCCGAGCGCGUAAUGAAAGUGAAAGUUGAGAUCCCUGUCGUGGGGAGCAUCGACGCCCGGACCAGAACUUUUGGGACGGAUCCGCGGUGGAGCAUGUACGUUGGGACCCGAAAGAUGGUGAACUAUGCCUGAAUAGGGUGAAGCCAGAGGAAACUCUGGUGGAGGCUCGUAGCGAUUCUGACGUGCAAAUCGAUCGU